GGGGGUUUGAAUCUGUGAUAGAUUGAUGAUGGGGGUUUGAGUCUGUGAGGGGUUGAUGGUGGGGUAAUCUGAAAGUUUGAUGGUGGGGGGAAUCUGUGAGAGGUUGAUGGUGGGGGAUUCUGUGAGAGGUUGAUGGUGGGGGGAUCAUCGAUAGUAGGGGUGGGUUUGAAUCUGUGAGAUGUUGUUGUUGGGUAAUCUGUGAAAGGUUGAUGGGGGAUCCUGUGAGAGGCUGAUGGUUGAAUAUGUGAUAGUUUGAUGGUGGGGGUUGUUUGAAUCUGUGAGAGGUUGAUGGUGGGGAGGUUUGAAUCCAAAAGAGGUUGAUGGUAGGGUCUUUGAAUUUGUCAGACGUUGAUGAUGGGGGCUUUGAAUCUGUGAGAGGUUGACGGUGGGAGGAUUUGAAUCUGUGAGAGAUUGAUGGUGGAGGGUUUGAAUCUGUGAGAGGUUGACGGUGGGGGGUUU
Molecule: long non-coding RNA, 459 nt
Organism: Hypanus sabinus (Atlantic stingray)
Lineage: Eukaryota; Metazoa; Chordata; Chondrichthyes; Myliobatiformes; Dasyatidae
Exons: 3
Source: RefSeq, a predicted model, not a curated record